GGCAGUACCGUGGCUCAUUUGGUUAAAGUGCGUGUCUAGUAAACAGGUGAUCACGAGUUCGAAUCUCGUCGGUGCCU
RNAcentral lists this transfer RNA (77 nucleotides) under Trichonephila inaurata madagascariensis. RNAcentral's name for it is "tRNA-Thr". It matches the Rfam family "tRNA". From Rfam's summary of the family: Transfer RNA (tRNA) molecules are approximately 80 nucleotides in length. Their secondary structure includes four short double-helical elements and three loops (D, anti-codon, and T loops). The record is from RNAcentral. Lineage: Eukaryota; Metazoa; Arthropoda; Arachnida; Araneae; Nephilidae.